RNAcentral lists this ribosomal RNA (429 nucleotides) under Acidobacteriota bacterium. RNAcentral describes it as "Acidobacteria bacterium partial 16S ribosomal RNA". It matches the Rfam family "Bacterial small subunit ribosomal RNA", at positions 355 to 776 of the family's 1533-position model. The record is from RNAcentral. Lineage: Bacteria; Pseudomonadati; Acidobacteriota.
UGGGGAAUUUUGGACAAUGGGGGAAACCCUGAUCCAGCCAUCCCGCGUGUGCGAUGAAGGCCUUCGGGUUGUAAAGCACUUUUGGCAGGAAAGAAACGUCAUGGGUUAAUACCCCGUGAAACUGACGGUACCUGCAGAAUAAGCACCGGCUAACUACGUGCCAGCAGCCGCGGUAAUACGUAGGGUGCAAGCGUUAAUCGGAAUUACUGGGCGUAAAGCGUGCGCAGGCGGUUCGGAAAGAAAGAUGUGAAAUCCCAGAGCUCAACUUUGGAACUGCAUUUUUAACAACCGGGCUAGAGUGUGUCAGAGGGAGGUGGAAUUCCGCGUGUAGCAGUGAAAUGCGUAGAUAUGCGGAGGAACACCGAUGGCGAAGGCAGCCUCCUGGGAUAACACUGACGCUCAUGCACGAAAGCGUGGGGAGCAAACAGG